UCCCUGGUAGUAUAUCGGUUAGUACACGCGCCUGUCAUGGAUUAAUGAAUUAUGCAACCGCGCGAAAGCUGGGUUCGACUCCCAGCCAGGGAG
Paramarasmius palmivorus is the source of this 93-nucleotide non-coding RNA. The record is from the annotation of a GenBank genome assembly. NCBI's taxonomy places the organism in Eukaryota, Fungi, Basidiomycota, Agaricomycetes, Agaricales, Marasmiaceae.